UGCCUGGGGGACCCGUGUUGUGUCUGCAGCGCAGGCCCCAUGUGACACACACAGACGCACGGACAAGACAGACAGACAGACAGACGCACAGGAAGAUAAAGGCUAAUUUUUGUGUUUGUACAUCACAUGCUGGAUGGAUUGACUGCAAGAAGUUUCACUUUGUCAGAAAUGAAAAAUGGUAGCAGCAACAGGUGAAGCAAAGCAGGAAGGGGAAGCCAAGGGUGCCAUGUCAAGUACGUGACAGGUGGUCUGUCUGCCCUCUGAUGCUGCUGUACAACUCCUGCUGAACUCAGCGUGGGCUCUCUGACAGUUCCCUGGGUAAGAUGUCCCACUGCACUGUCCUACCUAGUGAUGCUGCUGAAUGGAAGGCCUCCAUCUGAGGACUGAUCUAGAUCAAAGUCUUCAACUCGUGGGAAGUGUAAUCCCGAAGGGGAUUCUUACAGCAAAAUCUGCAAAACCUAUUCACAACAGAGCUGGAUAGCACUAGACAAUGGACCAAGAAUAAUCUAAAAAUGCCUGUUUGUUAGUACAACAAAUUUAUCAUCCUUUGUGAAGGGUCACCGUGUGUAUUUUUCAAAGAGGGACCCUUGUGAAGAUAACUGAACUAACUAGAGCUCAGAUGUUGCCAUGAGAGUCUAUGGUAAAACAUCACUGACUUCACAGGGGAAAAACUAAUCCCAGCACAGCUACUGCUCCAGUAAGAUGCUGUAUCUCCUGUAAAAACAUUGAUCUACAAACAUGCCAUAAAAAAUAUACCUUGAAAUACU
Long non-coding RNA from Melospiza georgiana, 767 nucleotides. RefSeq lists it as uncharacterized. The record is from RefSeq and is a predicted model, not a curated record. The transcript is spliced from 2 exons. NCBI's taxonomy places the organism in Eukaryota, Metazoa, Chordata, Aves, Passeriformes, Passerellidae.